Molecule: ribosomal RNA, 1505 nt
Filed under: Neopseudatrichia canei
Lineage: Eukaryota; Metazoa; Arthropoda; Insecta; Diptera; Scenopinidae
Description: SSU rRNA
Rfam family: Eukaryotic small subunit ribosomal RNA
Source: RNAcentral
GGGGAGGUAGUGACGAAAAAUAACAAUACAAGACUCAUAUCCGAGGCCUUGUAAUUGGAAUGAGUACACUUUAAAUCCUUUAACGAGGAUCAAUUGGAGGGUAAGUCUGGUGCCAGCAGCCGCGGUAAUUCCAGCUCCAAUAGCGUAUAUUAAAGUUGUUGCGGUUAAAACGUUCGUAGUUGAACUUGUGUUCCAUACGGGUAGUACACCUAAAAUAUUGGUUUGUACGUUACCUUUUAGUUAUGUGAACGUAUUACCGGUGGAGUUUAUUUAGUUAAUUAUUCAUUUUUUUGAAUUAUUUAACAAAUAACUCCUAUAUGUACCUGCUUCAAUGCUCUUUACCGGGUGUUGUAGUGGGCCGGUACAAUUACUUUGAACAAAUUAGAGUGCUUAAAGCAGGCUCCAAACGCCUGAAUAUUUUGUGCAUGGAAUAAUGAAAUAAGACCUCUGUUCUACUUUCAUUGGUUUUUAGAUCAAGAGGUAAUGAUUAAUAGAAGCAGUUGGGGGCAUUAGUAUUACGACGCGAGAGGUGAAAUUCUUGGACCGUCGUAAGACUAACUUAAGCGAAAGCAUUUGCCAAAGAUGUUUUCAUUAAUCAAGAACGAAAGUUAGAGGUUCGAAGGCGAUCAGAUACCGCCCUAGUUCUAACCAUAAACGAUGCCAGCUAGCAAUUGGGUGUAGCUACUACUAUGGCUCUCUCAGUCGCUUCCCGGGAAACCAAAGCUUUUGGGCUCCGGGGGAAGUAUGGUUGCAAAGCUGAAACUUAAAGGAAUUGACGGAAGGGCACCACCAGGAGUGGAGCCUGCGGCUUAAUUUGACUCAACACGGGAAAACUUACCAGGUCCGAACAUAAAUGAGUAAGACAGAUUGAUAGCUCUUUCUCGAAUCUAUGGGUGGUGGUGCAUGGCCGUUCUUAGUUCGUGGAGUGAUUUGUCUGGUUAAUUCCGAUAACGAACGAGACUCAAAUAUAUUAAAUAGAUGCAUUCAGGAUUAUGAUGUUUGAAACUUAACAUAUCCUUCUUAUAUGAAAUAUAGCAAUAUAUGGAUUGUUUGAAGUGUUUAUGUAAGUGGAGUCGUACCUGUUUGUUUGUCCCAUUAAUACGGACACUAGCUUCUUAAAUGGACAAAUUGCGUCUAGCAAUAAUGAGAUUGAGCAAUAACAGGUCUGUGAUGCCCUUAGAUGUCCUGGGCUGCACGCGCGCUACAAUGAAAGUAUCAACGUGUAUUUCCUAGAUCGAGAGAUCCGGGUAAACCGCUGAACCACUUUCAUGCUUGGGAUUGUGAACUGCAACUGUUCACAUGAACCUGGAAUUCCCAGUAAGUGCGAGUCAUUAACUCGCAUUGAUUACGUCCCUGCCCUUUGUACACACCGCCCGUCGCUACUACCGAUUGAAUUGUUUAGUGAGGUCUCCGGACGUGAUCACUGAGACGCCUAUGUGUGUUUCGGAUGUUUUACAGAAGUUGACCGAACUUGAUUAUUUAGAGGAAGUAAAAGUCGUAACAAG